This 251-nucleotide ribosomal RNA is filed under the name uncultured bacterium. RNAcentral describes it as "partial 16S ribosomal RNA". It matches the Rfam family "Bacterial small subunit ribosomal RNA", at positions 524 to 776 of the family's 1533-position model. The record is from RNAcentral.
UACAGAGGUCUCGAGCGUUGUUCGGAUUCAUUGGGCGUAAAGGGUGCGUAGGUGGCGUGGUAAGUCUGGUGUGAAAUCCCGGGGCUCAACCCCGGAACUGCACUGGAUACUGCCAUGCUUGAGUACUGGAGAGGAGAUUGGAAUUACGGUGUAGCAGUGAAAUGCGUAGAUAUCGUGAGGAAGACCAGUGGCGAAGGCGGGUCUCUGGACAGUUCCUGACACUGAGGCACGAAGGCCAGGGAGCAAACGGG